This 1424-nucleotide ribosomal RNA is filed under the name Curtobacterium flaccumfaciens pv. allii. RNAcentral's name for it is "16S ribosomal RNA". It matches the Rfam family "Bacterial small subunit ribosomal RNA". Lineage: Bacteria; Bacillati; Actinomycetota; Actinomycetes; Micrococcales; Microbacteriaceae. The record is from RNAcentral.
UGGCUCAGGACGAACGCUGGCGGCGUGCUUAACACAUGCAAGUCGAACGAUGAUGCCCAGCUUGCUGGGUGGAUUAGUGGCGAACGGGUGAGUAACACGUGAGUAACCUGCCCCUGACUCUGGGAUAAGCGUUGGAAACGACGUCUAAUACUGGAUAUGAUCACUGGCCGCAUGGUCUGGUGGUGGAAAGAUUUUUUGGUUGGGGAUGGACUCGCGGCCUAUCAGCUUGUUGGUGAGGUAAUGGCUCACCAAGGCGACGACGGGUAGCCGGCCUGAGAGGGUGACCGGCCACACUGGGACUGAGACACGGCCCAGACUCCUACGGGAGGCAGCAGUGGGGAAUAUUGCACAAUGGGCGAAAGCCUGAUGCAGCAACGCCGCGUGAGGGAUGACGGCCUUCGGGUUGUAAACCUCUUUUAGUAGGGAAGAAGCGAAAGUGACGGUACCUGCAGAAAAAGCACCGGCUAACUACGUGCCAGCAGCCGCGGUAAUACGUAGGGUGCAAGCGUUGUCCGGAAUUAUUGGGCGUAAAGAGCUCGUAGGCGGUUUGUCGCGUCUGCUGUGAAAUCCCGAGGCUCAACCUCGGGCUUGCAGUGGGUACGGGCAGACUAGAGUGCGGUAGGGGAGAUUGGAAUUCCUGGUGUAGCGGUGGAAUGCGCAGAUAUCAGGAGGAACACCGAUGGCGAAGGCAGAUCUCUGGGCCGUAACUGACGCUGAGGAGCGAAAGCAUGGGGAGCGAACAGGAUUAGAUACCCUGGUAGUCCAUGCCGUAAACGUUGGGCGCUAGAUGUAGGGACCUUUCCACGGUUUCUGUGUCGUAGCUAACGCAUUAAGCGCCCCGCCUGGGGAGUACGGCCGCAAGGCUAAAACUCAAAGGAAUUGACGGGGGCCCGCACAAGCGGCGGAGCAUGCGGAUUAAUUCGAUGCAACGCGAAGAACCUUACCAAGGCUUGACAUACACCGGAAACGGCCAGAGAUGGUCGCCCCCUUGUGGUCGGUGUACAGGUGGUGCAUGGUUGUCGUCAGCUCGUGUCGUGAGAUGUUGGGUUAAGUCCCGCAACGAGCGCAACCCUCGUUCUAUGUUGCCAGCGGGUUAUGCCGGGGACUCAUAGGAGACUGCCGGGGUCAACUCGGAGGAAGGUGGGGAUGACGUCAAAUCAUCAUGCCCCUUAUGUCUUGGGCUUCACGCAUGCUACAAUGGCCGGUACAAAGGGCUGCGAUACCGUAAGGUGGAGCGAAUCCCAAAAAGCCGGUCUCAGUUCGGAUUGAGGUCUGCAACUCGACCUCAUGAAGUCGGAGUCGCUAGUAAUCGCAGAUCAGCAACGCUGCGGUGAAUACGUUCCCGGGCCUUGUACACACCGCCCGUCAAGUCAUGAAAGUCGGUAACACCCGAAGCCGGUGGCCUAACCCUUGUGGAAGGAGCC